GUGAACGCUGGCGGUAGGCCUAACACAUGCAAGUCGAACGGCAGCACAGUAAGAGCUUGCUCUUACGGGUGGCGAGUGGCGGACGGGUGAGGAAUACAUCGGAAUCUACUUUUUCGUGGGGGAUAACGUAGGGAAACUUACGCUAAUACCGCAUACGACCUACGGGUGAAAGCAGGGGAUCUUCGGACCUUGCGCGAUUGAAUGAGCCGAUGUCGGAUUAGCUAGUUGGCGGGGUAAAGGCCCACCAAGGCGACGAUCCGUAGCUGGUCUGAGAGGAUGAUCAGCCACACUGGAACUGGGACACGGUCCAGACUCCUACGGGAGGCAGCAGUGGGGAAUAUUGGACAAUGGGCGCAAGCCUGAUCCAGCCAUACCGCGUGGGUGAAGAAGGCCUUCGGGUUGUAAAGCCCUUUUGUUGGGAAAGAAAAGCAGCAGGUUAAUACCCCGCCGUUCUGACGGUACCCAAAGAAUAAGCACCGGCUAACUUCGUG
Molecule: ribosomal RNA, 491 nt
Filed under: uncultured bacterium
Lineage: Bacteria
Description: partial 16S ribosomal RNA
Rfam family: Bacterial small subunit ribosomal RNA
Source: RNAcentral